GUGCUCGUUUCAGCAGCACGUAUAUUAAAAUUGGAGCGAUAUGGAGAAGAUUAUCAUGGCCUCUGCACAAGGAUGACAUGCAAAUACGUGAAGUGUUCCAUAUUAAA
Molecule: small nuclear RNA, 107 nt
Filed under: Myotis brandtii (Brandt's bat)
Lineage: Eukaryota; Metazoa; Chordata; Mammalia; Chiroptera; Vespertilionidae
Source: RNAcentral